UUGACACUUCGUCUUCUCUUACACUCGUAUUAUGCAGUAUAUAGUGCAGUUUUAGUAACUUCUAGUAGUUUUAUCGUCACGAAACUGAACUCAAGUACGUCUCUUAUCGGACUAGGAAAAAGGAACUCACAAAAACGAGGAAGACAUGCGCGACAAAGUCUGCACACUUUGAUUUAAGUAUUUGUCUGAAGCUAUCGCGGCAAUACAAAAUGAUCAUGUUGGUAUGUUUAGCGUUCCUGUUAUCACUUCCGGUGGUGUCGUCUGCAGAGGCAACCAUGACGCCAUGUUGCACACCGGAAAUAUUCACUGCGGAACUGUACGUGCUGUCUGCGGUGCUGACAUCCGGUUCUUCUCAACCAAGUAUCAGUAACCUCUCAGGUUCACAUGUGGAGCGGACUGUAUCUCGGCGCUCUGAAAAUGAGCGUCCACGUGUCCGGUAGUGAAUGUGAACCAGUCUCGCUCCGCUACUAUGGCGAUGUCCCCGGUGUUGGCGUACAACUGUUAACCACCUCACUGUUUCUGGCUGUUACAAGGUACACUUCACUACCUCCUGCCGUCUUCAGCCUUUCAGACGAGUGUUAACAUCUUCCUCAACUUCAAGGGAAAUAAAAUCCUAGGAGUGACCAUUUUAAAUUGAAACAUUAUUUUGUUCUGAUAAAAUAUGACAGAUCUCA
Long non-coding RNA from Dreissena polymorpha, 674 nucleotides. RefSeq lists it as uncharacterized. The record is from RefSeq and is a predicted model, not a curated record. The transcript has 4 exons. NCBI's taxonomy places the organism in Eukaryota, Metazoa, Mollusca, Bivalvia, Myida, Dreissenidae.